This 940-nucleotide long non-coding RNA is filed under the name Homo sapiens (human). RNAcentral's name for it is "HSALNT0293058". The record is from RNAcentral. Lineage: Eukaryota; Metazoa; Chordata; Mammalia; Primates; Hominidae.
AAAUCCCCUAGGUUGGUCAGGCUCUGGUAAAACCUCAGUCAGUUAGGUUCUGAUGAAAUAUUUGCUUUUGAGGACCAUCCUUGUUAAAAAGAACAGAAUAUUCUGGGCAUAUUUCAAAAUAGCUACCCUUCCCCUCUCCUUGCAGGAAGCACAAGAGGAUUUCCCUCCAAUCACUGUGAGAAUUUGGUAGAGCUCCUAGAAGCAAAACUCACAAAAAUGUGAAAGCCCCUUUAAGACUGGGCUCCCACGAAUUUUUAACUGUCCGUACUAAAACAGUUCAUCCAUUACAGUUUAGGCUUUCCUACUUUUACUGUUUCCCAUGGGGGUUUCUGUUCAUGAGCUUUUGUUCCAGUAAUCUGUGAUUCUCUGAAUCUGCUAGUCUGUCUCUCCAAUUUUGGAAACAGUAGUAUGCCCUGCAACUUCCAUUCUCUGAUGGAUCUAAGAAGAGUUUUUGAUUUCCAGCUUGUUCAGCUUUUUUGUGUGUAGAUGGGAGCAACAUUUCUAAGCCCCUUAUAUGCUGGACUGGAAACUGAAAUUCCCCCUCCAGACAACUAUAUUCUAUAUUCCAGUCGGGAAGAAGUAUGGACGAAGGAACUGUGUGCCCUCCAAGAACAUAUUUCUUUUUAAUCAGUAAAACAAUAAUUUUCCCAGAAACUACGUAGACUUUCACUUACAUCUUGUUGGCCAGAACUAGGUCACGUCACUACCCUUGUUGCAAAGGAGGCUUAAAACAAUGCAAGCUAAUAGUGGAAAGUAAAGAAAGGAAUACAUCUAUAUGAUUAGGCAACAUGAUAACAGAGACUAAACAUAUGUGGAAAAAUUCUGGAACCCAUCUCUUCGAAUGCGCCUCUCUACAUUCUUUCCACCUAUGACAGAGAAUUCAUAAGACAAUAUUUUAUGUAUACAAAAUUUUAUAAAUACAGUCUAAAUCUUAGUAAAG